This 419-nucleotide ribosomal RNA is filed under the name bacterium. RNAcentral's name for it is "partial 16S ribosomal RNA". It matches the Rfam family "Bacterial small subunit ribosomal RNA", at positions 355 to 776 of the family's 1533-position model. The record is from RNAcentral.
UGGGGGAUAUUGCACAAUGGGCGAAAGCCUGAUGCAGCGACGCCGCGUGGGGGAUGAAGGCCUUCGGGUUGUAAACUUCUUUUGCUCUGAACAAGGCGCACCAUGGGGUGUGUUGAGUGUAGGGGUUGAUUAGCGCCGGCUAACUACGUGCCAGCAGCCGCGGUAAUACGGAGGGCGCGAGCGUUGUCCGGAAUUAUUGGGCGUAAAGGGCUUGUAGGUGGCUGGUUGCGUCUGUCGUGAAAGCUCAUGGCUUAACUGUGGGUUUGCGGUGGAUACGGGCGGGCUUGAGUGCAGUAGGGGAGGCUGGAAUUCCUGGUGUAGCGGUGGAAUGCGCAGAUAUCAGGAGGAAUACCGGUGGCGAAGGCGGGUCUCUGGGCUGUUACUGACACUGAGGAGCGAAAGCAUGGGGAGCGAACAGG